GAUGAAGAACGCAGCGAAAUGCGAUAAGUAAUGUGAAUUGCAGAAUUCAGUGAAUCAUCGAAUCUUUGAACGCACAUUGCGCCCGCCAGUAUUCUGGCGGGCAUGCCUGUUCGAGCGUCAUUACAACCCUCAGGCCCCCGGGCCCGGCGUUGGGGAUCGGCGGAAGCCCCCUGCGGGCACAACGCCGUCCCCCAAAUACAGUGGCGGUCCCGCCGCAGCUUCCAUUGCGUAGUAGCUAACACCUCGCAACUGGAGAGCGGCGCGGCCACGCCGUAAAACACCCAACUUCUGAAUGUUGACCUCGAAUCAGGUAGGAAUACCCGCUGAACUUAAGCAUAUCAAUAAGCGGAGGA
This 353-nucleotide unclassified non-coding RNA is filed under the name soil metagenome. RNAcentral's name for it is "partial contains 5.8S ribosomal RNA, internal transcribed spacer 2, and large subunit ribosomal RNA". The stretch from base 1 to 120 matches the Rfam family "5.8S ribosomal RNA", at positions 35 to 154 of the family's 154-position model. The record is from RNAcentral.